RNAcentral lists this ribosomal RNA (253 nucleotides) under uncultured bacterium. RNAcentral's name for it is "partial 16S ribosomal RNA". It matches the Rfam family "Bacterial small subunit ribosomal RNA", at positions 524 to 776 of the family's 1533-position model. The record is from RNAcentral.
UACGGAGGGUGCGAGCGUUGUCCGGAAUCACUGGGCGUAAAGGGCGCGUAGGCGGCGCGGGGAGUCAACGGUGAAAGCUCGGCGCUCAACGCCGAGUCGGCCGUCGAUACUCCCGUGCUUGAGCACUGUAGAGGCAGGUGGAAUUCCGGGUGUAGCGGUGGAAUGCGUAGAGAUCCGGAAGAACACCGGUGGCGAAGGCGGUGAGCUGGGCAGUUGCUGACACUGAGGCGCGACAGCGUGGGGAGCAAACAGG